GUCCUUCCCAUUUCAUAAUACUCUCCACUUUCCAUCUCAUUAAUGGAAUUUGAACUUAGCAACUAUCAAUAACUUCACCUACUGCAUUGUUGUGAAAGACGAAUUCAUCAAGGAAAAGAUUAUCUUUGUGGUUUGUAAAAGCAAAUAAAUGAACACGUAUGAUUUGUAUUAUUGGUAGAGAAAACAAAUAUAAUCUAAGUAAAAUAUUCCUAAUUAAGAAUUUGGCAAUUGAAGGCUAAUUUUGAAUUAACUCGAAGAAUGGUUCAUAAACUAUUUAAUU
This 280-nucleotide unclassified non-coding RNA is filed under the name Hevea brasiliensis (rubber tree). The record is from RNAcentral. Lineage: Eukaryota; Viridiplantae; Streptophyta; Magnoliopsida; Malpighiales; Euphorbiaceae.